Molecule: unclassified non-coding RNA, 408 nt
Filed under: uncultured Funneliformis
Lineage: Eukaryota; Fungi; Glomeromycota; Glomeromycetes; Glomerales; Glomeraceae
Description: sequence contains 28S rRNA gene
Source: RNAcentral
AGUUAAACAGUACGUGAAAUUGUUGAAAGGGAAACGAUUGAAGUCAGUCAUACCAACGGGAAAUCAACCUUUUGAGUUCGGUCUCGUGGGUUUUGAAGAGUUUCAAAGCCUUCGGAUUCGCGGGAUUGGGAUCUCUUGGUGUACUUUUUCGUACGGUUAGUCAACAUCGGUUUUGAAUGUCAUAAAAUGACUGGAGGAAUGUAGCUUCGAUCUCGUAUUGAAGUGUUAUAGCCUUUGGUAGAUGUGAUGUUUGAGACCGAGGAUUGCAACGGAUACCCUUCAGGGCUAUUCGUCUGAUCUCUGAUACGUUGCCUUGAUGUUGAAAGCUUGCUUAUGAUGUUAGGGUAUUACGGUCAAAAGGUUAGAACGAAUUACAUUCGUUAAGGAUGUUGACGUAAUGACUUUAAA